GACGAACGCUGGCGGCGUGCCUAAUACAUGCAAGUCGAGCGAAGUUUUUCUGGUGCUUGCACUAGAAAAACUUAGCGGCGAACGGGUGAGUAACACGUAAAGAACCUGCCUCAUAGACUGGGACAACUAUUGGAAACGAUAGCUAAUACCGGAUAACAGUAUUUCUCGCAUGAGAGAUAUUUAAAAGUUGGUUAUGCUAACACUAUGAGAUGGCUUUGCGGUGCAUUAGCUAGUUGGUGGGGUAAAGGCCCACCAAGGCGACGAUGCAUAGCCGACCUGAGAGGGUGAUCGGCCACACUGGGACUGAGACACGGCCCAGACUCCUACGGGAGGCAGCAGUGGGAAUCUUCCGCAAUGGGCGAAAGCCUGACGGAGCAACGCCGCGUGAGUGAAGAAGGAUUUCGGUUCGUAAAGCUCUGUUGUUAGGGAAGAAUGGAUAUGUAGUAACUAUA
RNAcentral lists this ribosomal RNA (452 nucleotides) under Gemella morbillorum. Its description in RNAcentral is "bacterial SSU rRNA". It matches the Rfam family "Bacterial small subunit ribosomal RNA", at positions 28 to 468 of the family's 1533-position model. The record is from RNAcentral. Lineage: Bacteria; Bacillati; Bacillota; Bacilli; Caryophanales; Gemellaceae.